UAAUGAUUCUUCAGUUGGGACUUCAGAAGGUUUCUCUUCCUCAACUUCAGGUUUGACAACAAUUUCAACUUCAGUUUUCUGAGAUGGUGUUUCCUCUGUUUCUGUUGUAAUUUCAAGAGUUUCCUCAUAGGUAACUAUUGAUUCUUCAGUUGGGACUUCAGA
Long non-coding RNA from Mytilus californianus (California mussel), 162 nucleotides. RefSeq lists it as uncharacterized. The transcript is spliced from 3 exons. NCBI's taxonomy places the organism in Eukaryota, Metazoa, Mollusca, Bivalvia, Mytilida, Mytilidae. The record is from RefSeq and is a predicted model, not a curated record.